This 5020-nucleotide long non-coding RNA is filed under the name Sus scrofa (pig). RNAcentral's name for it is "lncRNA (ENSSSCG00015026205.1)". Lineage: Eukaryota; Metazoa; Chordata; Mammalia; Artiodactyla; Suidae. The record is from RNAcentral.
CAUGAGGUACUGGCUCUGUUGCCCAUGGCUGGAGAGAGGUUCUCAACGCCCCUCACCCCAUGGUGUCAGGGAGGGAGGAUGGUCUGAGCUACAUUUGAGGCUGAGAUUAUGGUCGCAGAGAAUGGGCUGUCUGAGUGCUCCCCACCCCCAAACAUCCCUAAAAUAGAAUUAAUUAACUUCUUUGGGAGGGUGGGAAUCAUAGUGGGAGUGAAAUCUCUUACUCCCUUGUGUUUGGCUCCUGGAUUCUUUUUCCUCCCUGGGGAAGCCCUUCGACCCAGUUUCCCUUUAAAUGCAACCUGAGAGAACAAAGGAUUCUCUUCAUUAUUUUAAAAGCCCUGUGUCCUUAGGUGGUCUGUCAGGUAAAGACAAAGAACAAACCCCAUCUGAUUGUGACUUUUUGGGUAUACUUGUUUUUUUAACAAGACAAGAUAAUUUUAGUCUGUUAAGUGAAGUCAGUAGUGGGAAAGUAUUGUUAAAUAAAUACAGAAUGUGUGCCUCUAGCUUUCUCUCUAGCUCAGAGUUACACAAAAGAAUGGUACUCACCUGAGCUAGAAUGCUACCUGGUGUCAGCAGCACUCCUCUUUCUAGAAGCAAAUACAUUGAAGAUAUUGGAAAAAGUACCUGCAACUUCAUAAUAAUUCACCUUCAUCAUCUGCCUCAUAGGGAAGGAAAUAGAAGUAAAAUUUAAAAGAUGCAGAAAACACAUAUUUUUCCUCAGAAAAGAGAAUGUGGUAACACUUAUUUGGGAAAAGUGCAUAUCUCUGGAUAUCCCACAUCGAUGUGAAGUUAAAAGGGCAAAAUGAAGUUCUUAAUUCUCUUUUCUAUAUUAAUAUGAUAUUGUGAUUUAAUGAUCACUGGGCUUUGAGUGAUCACAAUGGAGGAUUAAUAAGCUAACUCUGAAUAAAUUACACUUGCAACAUUUUUUUUUUCCUGAGGCUGUGUUCUGGUUGGGUCAGGUUUGAUGUGGUCAGUUAGUUCUGUACAGUUAAGCGGCUUCUUAUAACAGAGUAAUACCCUGUCUGAGUUUUCCUUCUAUCUUAUUCAACACAAACAGAUGAAUUUUUACAAAGACUACCUACCUCCCAUGUCCUGUUCACAUACCAUCAUAUUGUUGUUAUGGCAUGCUUUUGCUUCCCUAAAAGAGAAUUUUGGAGGAAAGGCAGAUUUGGGAGUGGGGAGUGAGAGAGAGGCUUCCUUGGAUACAAGUGUUUUUGCUAUAUUGGAACAACAUGUGUGAUAGGGCAUGAAAAAGAAUGAGGGCAGGGAACUACAGGAUGAAUGUGAAAUUUCCUUCAAAAUUACUCCUGAAUCAAAGAUCUGGGGUGAAGAGUAUCUUGGCAAACCUAACUAUAAGUGAAAAAAUUGACUCUGGCAAUAAGAAGCAUUUUUCAACUAAAUUAUUCAUUGGCUUUACCCUGAAAGAGUGCUUUUCAACUUACAUAAUGAUUUUUAAACAGGUGUAUUUAUACUACCAUCAAGAUAUUACUCAUUAAUACUCUCAUUUCUAAUAGGAAAUAUUACUUAUCAUUUGCUAGUCAUAAAACCAGCAGUAAAGUGUAUCUUUGAGGUAGAUUACUUAUUUUUAGAAGAGCUGUCAUCUUUUUUAACCGAAAUUGCCAUCUGUGCUAUAUACUAGCAGACGUCAAUACUAUACCAAUACCAUGGAUGGCAUACAGCUCAGUCUUACUAUCACUUAUUAACAUGGUGCUUUAUAACAAUUCAUUUAAUAAAGUAUGUUAGUAAGUAUCCUUACAAUUUUCCCAGUAUCUCAAAGAGAGAGUAUAUUUUACUAGAGAACUUUGUUUCUAAACAUCUGUGUUUUUGAUAGAUUAUACCUAGCCUGGGAGACAUCAGAUAUUGAGUGCAUUUCAAACUUAAAAAAAAAAGUGCUACCAAAUUCUUUCAGCAAUACUUAGAAAUGAAAGCUGCUUUUGUAUAUGAGCUAUUAUAUUAUCAACAUUCUGGGUACGAAUGCCAUGUAAUAUUUUUCCCCCUUUGGAUAGUAGCUGUUCUGUUUUUGCUCUGCUAGUUUCUAUGUAUUCUUACUCUGCUUUUACAUUUCAAGUGAAAUGGAAGUUCCUAUUUGCUGGUUGGAUUCUCUGGAGUCAAUUGAAACCGUUAAGCUAAUAAACCCAAUUCUCCAUUCAACAGGUAAUUUUUGUUCCUCUUUCAAGCAUUUUUGUGAUGUGCUGUGCCCUUUCAGGUGCCCUGACUUGUCAGGAAAUGCAGUGUUAGGGUGUAAUGGCAUGAUUAGAUUUAACUGAACUCAAAUCACUCACCGUUUCUGACAAACUGGACUCAAGCCAAUUUCCCUCCCUAUCCUUUUCUUGAAAAUUUGUGUUUCUUUGCGAACUUACUUCAGUACCAUGCUAAUGUUUAGAAAUGGCUUCAUAAUACAGUUUCCUGUGUUUUCUCAUUUCCUAAUGGAAACAGGAUACUAAAGAAUUAGAAGGGAAAGGCCGGCAUAUGAAGCAUGAAUUAAACCCAGUAAAUGCUGGGAUGUACAUCUUAUUCUUUCUGAAAACAUCUCAUUUGUUGUUUUGUCCACUGCAGAAAAAAUGUGAAUUCGGGUUGCAUUUGGAAAUAUCAUUUGAAAAUGAAUUUUUGGACAGGCAUCUGAUGAUGAUAGCCAAAAGUCAGAAGCUGUUUUCAAACGGAUACAUUUCAAAUGGGACACUUUCCAAACUAUUUCUCUUCAGUUGUCAUUUGCCUCAUUCUUGUCUCAAGAUUUCAUCUUACUAAUAAUCACAAAAAGUCAAAUUUAUUUCAGUGACAGAACGUUCUUAGCAUAUUUUAUAUUCAUUAUCAGGUCUGCCUCUGCCGUUGUUUUAUUUGGGAGAUUUUAUUUUGGUUACUUCUGUUGAAUUUGAAGAUUAAUUUUAGAGCAGAGAGCUUUCUUUGCAUUGAAGUCUUGGAAGACUUAGUAAAGGGAAGGCAUCUGAAAAAUGGGUUACAUUGGGGAAAAGGGAAGUUCUGCACUUAGGACAGGCUUUAGAUACAUAUGUUUAAGCCAGUUUCUUAAUGAAGACCAAAUGAUCUGUAUCAUCUGAGGAUUUUCACAGAAAGAGUAUGGCUUUACCACUUUAAACAAUAUCAGAAAGAGAUUAAAGAAAUUAUAUUUUUGACAGUUAGUCCUGAAUACCCGAAUCCUAAUUCCAUUACAUUCCUAACUAUAUGUAUGACCUUGGGUAAAUUACUUAACCUCUCUAUAACUUCGGUGUACUUUUCUUUAAAAUGAAGAACUAAGGUCUUGACUUAGAUUCAGUGCUAUGAUUCCCUAUGGUAAAGUCUGCCAUACUCUGUGAGCAUGGAAGAAGAUAGUCUACUCAGGCUAAAAAUAGUUAAACUGGAUUGGUUAUUAAAAUGGAAGAAGAAUUAGAACAAAUCAACAGGGUUUAGAUCAUAGAGGCCCUUGCCUGCUAAGCCAAGGCAUUUGACAAUUAUCUUGAAAACUAGGGGUCCAUUAAAGGGGCCUUAACAGAGAGGUGAUCACUAGAUUUUCAAGUAUUAAAUAGAUUUCUUUGGCUGUAGUGUCUCAGUGGAUGGGAGAUGGUGGGAUUGGAAACUGAGAGAUUAUAUUAGAGACUUGAAGAAUUGAUGAGGGCCAGGGAUAAGGCAAAAAUAGUGGAGGUAAAAUAAACAGGGCUUUGCUAAAUUGAUUAGUUGCAGUGGAAGGAAGAAUUUAGGUUAUCUUCACAUUUUUGUCUCUGCUGUCUGUCCCAGUGAUGGUGGUUCCAGUAUCUGAGAAUAAAGGUCCUGAAGGAAGGACAGAACAACUUGUUGCUUGAUGAUGGUUCUUUGAGCUAGAAAUGGUAUGGCAGUGAUUGAUUCUAGAGGGUAUGCUAAUGAUUAAUUCUAGUGAUUGAGUCCGGUGAGAUAUGUAAUUUCAUGUCACUGAUAAGUACAGCCCCACUGAAUGCCUGCUAGCAGAACUCUCUGAUGUAGAUAAUAAACAAUCAGUAAUGCUACUAAUAAUUUUCUUAGUGUUUUUUUUGUUACACCCUGUCUGCUUAUAAAAAAAAUGCAUAAUAAACUCCCAUUUUUUUGAAAUCCAGUCAAAAAGUUCAAAAUUUAAUUUCAUUUUAAUCUUCUUUCUUUUCUGUUAUUAUCUUCAGAGGAGUUAGUGAAGGUGAACUGGGUAUAACACAACAAAAAUGACUGAAUGAGCACUGAUCAUGUUGGGCUGCCAGAUCACAAAUUCACCCCAAGUACCAAUGUUUUCUACUUCUGUAAUUUCAUAUAAUGGUAACCAAUGUCCAUUAUAUUGUCUCUGAAGCAUAGUAAGAUCCUACUGACAAAAUAAGUUGGGUCUGUCUUCUGUAGUUGAUGCCAGGCAUUCCAAAAGCUGACUUCUCAUCGAUAUUGUCAAACUCUUAGAAAACAAUUAUGUUGAGAUUCCUUUAAAUUUGGGUUUUAAAUGUGUUACUUUCAAGGUGUCCUUUUCACAUCUAAAAUUCUGAAUCUGGAAUUCCCAUCGUGUCUCAAUGGUUAGUGAACCCGACUAGUAUCCAUGAGGAAGCGGGUUCGAUCCCUGGCCUUGUUCAGUGGUUAAGGAUCCCACAUUGCUGUGAGCUGUGGUGUAGGUCACAGGUGUGGCUUGGAUCCCAAGUUGCUCUGACUCUGGCGUAGGCUGGCAGCUACAGAUCCGGUUGGACCCCUAGUCUGGGAAUCUCCAUAUGCCUUAAAAAGAAAAAAAAAAUUCUGAAUCUUUACAUGGCAGGUAGAAUAUCAAUAAACCAGAGCUUUUGCUUACUCAGGGCAAAGGAAUUCCUGUACCUUAUGCUGGUGAGUAGACAGGAAGACAGGAAACAUAUGCCUAUUAUAUCUAGACAUGUUCAUAAAUGGUGGUGAGUGGAAUCAGAGAACUGGUUAUUGGCCAGUUCCACUAAAUGGGAAAUUUGAAGAAUAAAUUGCUCUUAGAAAAACACAGUAUAUUGUUAGACAAAAUUUUAAGGGCUGCUAAGAAAGCCCAUCUUUCCAUUUUAGCAUGCCAGCCUCAGAUUCUCUUAAAGAAAAUGAG